UGCUUACACAGCAAAUGUUGGGUUGAGGUAACACAGAAGCGUGAACAAGUUAAAGAAUAACCAGCCAGGGACUUCCCUGGAGGUCCAGUGGCUAAGACUCCAUGGAGGUUCCAUCCCUGGUCAGGGAGCUAGACCCCACACACCACAAUAAAAGAUUCUGUGUGCCACAGCUAAGACCCAGCACAGCCAAAUAAAUAAAUAAAAAAAAAAAAAAAGAAUAACCAGCCAAUCAAUCCUCAAGUCUGGACAGCACAGUGCCUCCAUACCAUUCUCUGUAGAGACACCCAGACAUAAGCAGCCUGUUUGAAGGGCCGAGAAGACCUAUGGUAGAAUAACUUUCUCUCCCAGGAUGGAUUUUCCACAUGUUAUCCACGUGUAUCCAGGUCUCUGGAGUGGAAUAAUCACAGCCUUUGCUUGAAGAAUUCCCUGCCUGUCAGACCCCGAAGGCUCAAGUCUGUGGACAGAAGAUGUGUGAAUACUGAGCUAAAACAGAGUAUAGGCAAGAGUUUUGUCUGUUCACCACUGGGAUUUAAGAACUUAAAGGCCAAGAACUGGCCUCAAAAGCAAAGGAGUGGUGAUCAUUUUGUAAUGUAUAAAAAUAUCGAAUCACUAUGUUUUGCACCUGUAAAAAAAGAAAAAAGACGAGGCGAAGUCAAUAUAUGCUUUAAAAAUAUAUAUAAAAUACACAGAUAUACACAC
Bos taurus (domestic cattle) is the source of this 699-nucleotide long non-coding RNA. Lineage: Eukaryota; Metazoa; Chordata; Mammalia; Artiodactyla; Bovidae. The record is from Ensembl.